GACGAACGCUGGCGGCGUGCUUAACACAUGCAAGUCGAACGGAAAGGCCCUGCUUUUGUGGGGUGCUCGAGUGGCGAACGGGUGAGUAACACGUGAGUAACCUGCCCUUGACUUUGGGAUAACUUCAGGAAACUGGGGCUAAUACCGGAUAGGAGCUCCUGCUGCAUGGUGGGUGUUGGAAAGUUUCGGCGGUUGGGGAUGGACUCGCGGCUUAUCAGCUUGUUGGUGGGGUAGUGGCUUACCAAGGCUUUGACGGGUAGCCGGCCUGGGAGGGUGACCGGCCACAUUGGGACUGAGAUACGGCCCAGACUCCUACGGGAGGCAGCAGUGGGGAAUAUUGCACAAUGGGCGGAAGCCUGAUGCAGCAACGCCGCGUGCGGGAUGACGGCCUUCGGGUUGUAAACCGCUUUCGCCUGUGACGAAGCGUGAGUGACGGUAAUGGGUAAAGAAGCACCGGCUAACUACGUG
This 468-nucleotide ribosomal RNA is filed under the name uncultured bacterium. RNAcentral describes it as "partial 16S ribosomal RNA". It matches the Rfam family "Bacterial small subunit ribosomal RNA", at positions 28 to 507 of the family's 1533-position model. The record is from RNAcentral.